Molecule: ribosomal RNA, 253 nt
Filed under: uncultured bacterium
Lineage: Bacteria
Description: partial 16S ribosomal RNA
Rfam family: Bacterial small subunit ribosomal RNA
Source: RNAcentral
CACGUAGGGAGCAAGCGUUGUCCGGAAUUAUUGGGCGUAAAGAGCUCGUAGGCGGUCUGUCGCGUCGAAUGUGAAAACCCGGGGCUCAACCCCGGGCCUGCAUUCGAUACGGGCAGACUAGAGUUCGGUAGGGGAGUCUGGAAUUCCUGGUGUAGCGGUGAAAUGCGCAGAUAUCAGGAGGAACACCGGUGGCGAAGGCGGGACUCUGGGCCGAUACUGACGCUGAGGAGCGAAAGCGUGGGGAGCAAACAGG